UAACGCGUGGAUAACCUGUCUCACACAGGGGGAUAACAGUUGGAAACGACUGCUAAUACCGCAUAAGCGCACAGCACCGCAUGGUGCGGUGUGAAAAACUCCGGUGGUGUGAGAUGGAUCCGCGUCUGAUUAGCUAGUUGGCGGGGUAACGGCCCACCAAGGCGACGAUCAGUAGCCGGCCUGAGAGGGCGACCGGCCACAUUGGGACUGAGACACGGCCCAGACUCCUACGGGAGGCAGCAGUGGGGAAUAUUGCACAAUGGGGGAAACCCUGAUGCAGCGACGCCGCGUGAGCGAUGAAGUAUUUCGGUAUGUAAAGCUCUNUCAGCAGGGAAGAUAAUGACGGUACCUGACUAAGAAGCUCCGGCUAAAUACGUGCCAGCAGCCGCGGUAAUACGUAUGGAGCAAGCGUUAUCCGGAUUUACUGGGUGUAAAGGGAGCGUAGGCGGUCCUGCAAGUCUGAUGUGAAAGGCCGGGGCUCAACCCCGGGACUGCAUUGGAAACUGUAGGACUAGAGUGUCGGAGGGGUAAGUGGAAUUCCUAGUGUAGCGGUGAAAUGNGUAGAUNUUAGGAGGAACACCAGUGGCGAAGGCGGCUUACUGGACGACUACUGACGCUGAGGCUCGAAAGNGUGGGGAGNAAACAGGAUUAGAUACCCUGGUAGUCCACGCCGUAAACGAUGUNUACUAGGUGU
RNAcentral lists this ribosomal RNA (694 nucleotides) under uncultured bacterium. Its description in RNAcentral is "bacterial SSU rRNA". It matches the Rfam family "Bacterial small subunit ribosomal RNA", at positions 111 to 823 of the family's 1533-position model. The record is from RNAcentral.